This 1346-nucleotide ribosomal RNA is filed under the name uncultured bacterium. RNAcentral's name for it is "partial 16S ribosomal RNA". It matches the Rfam family "Bacterial small subunit ribosomal RNA", at positions 28 to 1381 of the family's 1533-position model. The record is from RNAcentral.
GACGAACGCUGGCGGCGUGCUUAACACAUGCAAGUCGAACGGAAAGGCCCUGCUUUUGUGGGGUGCUCGAGUGGCGAACGGGUGAGUAACACGUGAGUAACCUGCCCUUGACUUUGGGAUAACUUCGGGAAACUGGGGCUAAUACCGGAUAGGAGCUCCUGCUGCAUGGUGGGGGUUGGAAAGUUUCGGCGGUUGGGGAUGGACUCGCGGCUUAUCAGCUUGUUGGUGGGGUAGUGGCUUACCAAGGCUUUGACGGGUAGCCGGCCUGAGAGGGUGACCGGCCACAUUGGGACUGAGAUACGGCCCAGACUCCUACGGGAGGCAGCAGUGGGGAAUAUUGCACAAUGGGCGGAAGCCUGAUGCAGCAACGCCGCGUGCGGGAUGACGGCCUUCGGGUUGUAAACCGCUUUCGCCUGUGACGAAGCGUGAGUGACGGUAAUGGGUAAAGAAGCACCGGCUAACUACGUGCCAGCAGCCGCGGUGAUACGUAGGGUGCGAGCGUUGUCCGGAUUUAUUGGGCGUAAAGGGCUCGUAGGUGGUUGAUCGCGUCGGAAGUGUAAUCUUGGGGCUUAACCCUGAGCGUGCUUUCGAUACGGGUUGACUUGAGGAAGGUAGGGGAGAAUGGAAUUCCUGGUGGAGCGGUGGAAUGCGCAGAUAUCAGGAGGAACACCAGUGGCGAAGGCGGUUCUCUGGGCCUUUCCUGACGCUGAGGAGCGAAAGCGUGGGGAGCGAACAGGCUUAGAUACCCUGGUAGUCCACGCUGUAAACGGUGGGUACUAGGUGUGGGGUCCAUUCCACGGGUUCCGUGCCGUAGCUAACGCUUUAAGUACCCCGCCUGGGGAGUACGGCCGCAAGGCUAAAACUCAAAGGAAUUGACGGGGCCCCGCACAAGCGGCGGAGCAUGCGGAUUAAUUCGAUGCAACGCGUAGAACCUUACCUGGGUUUGACAUGGAUCGGGAGUGCUCAGAGAUGGGUGUGCCUCUUUUGGGGUCGGUUCACAGGUGGUGCAUGGCUGUCGUCAGCUCGUGUCGUGAGAUGUUGGGUUAAGUCCCGCAACGAGCGCAACCCUUGUUCACUGUCGCCAGCACGUUAUGGUGGGGACUCAGUGGAGACCGCCGGGGUCAACUCGGAGGAAGGUGGGGAUGACGUCAAGUCAUCAUGCCCCUUAUGUCCAGGGCUUCACGCAUGCUACAAUGGCUGGUACAGAGAGUGGCGAGCCUGUGAGGGUGAGCGAAUCUCGGAAAGCCGGUCUCAGUUCGGAUUGGGGUCUGCAACUCGACCUCAUGAAGUCGGAGUCGCUAGUAAUCGCAGAUCAGCAACGCUGCGGUGAAUAAGUUCCCGGGGCU